Molecule: non-coding RNA, 177 nt
Organism: Taeniopygia guttata (zebra finch)
Lineage: Eukaryota; Metazoa; Chordata; Aves; Passeriformes; Estrildidae
Source: RefSeq, a predicted model, not a curated record
GCAGGGGGAGACGGGAACAGCUUUGCAAAGUAUUUCCAAGCCUGCAGGGUUUAUGUCAAGUAACCUUUAAAAGGACAAGCUAUAUGGUCACUACUACUGUCAUGGCAUUGAUCAGGAAGUGAACAACAUGAAGUAUCUUCCAUAAGAAAUAGAAUGAGCACAGCAUACAAAAAACAA